CUACAAAGGAAUUGACGGGGGCCCGCACAAGCGGUGGAGCAUGUGGGUUUAAUUCGAAGCAACGCGCAGAACCUUACCAGCCCUUGACAUACCGGUCGCGGACACAGAGAUGUGUCUUUCAGUUCGGCUGGACCGGAUACAGGUGCUGCAUGGCUGUCGUCAGCUCGUGUCGUGAGAUGUUGGGUUAAGUCCCGCAACGAGCGCAACCCUCGCCCUUAGUUGCCAGCAUUUAGUUGGGCACUCUAAGGGGACUGCCGGUGAUAAGCCGAGAGGAAGGUGGGGAUGACGUCAAGUCCUCAUGGCCCUUACGGGCUGGGCUACACACGUGCUACAAUGGUGGUGACAGUGGGCAGCGAGCACGCGAGUGUGAGCUAAUCUCCAAAAGCCAUCUCAGUUCGGAUUGCACUCUGCAACUCGAGUGCAUGAAGUUGGAAUCGCUAGUAAUCGCGGAUCAGCCAAGCCGCGGUGAAUACGUUCCCGGGCCUU
This 486-nucleotide ribosomal RNA is filed under the name uncultured Ochrobactrum sp. RNAcentral describes it as "bacterial SSU rRNA". It matches the Rfam family "Bacterial small subunit ribosomal RNA", at positions 903 to 1382 of the family's 1533-position model. The record is from RNAcentral. Lineage: Bacteria; Pseudomonadati; Pseudomonadota; Alphaproteobacteria; Hyphomicrobiales; Brucellaceae.